UACGGAGGAUGCGAGCGUUAUCCGGAUUUAUUGGGUUUAAAGGGUGCGUAGGCGGGCUGUUAAGUCAGCGGUCAAAUGUCGGGGCUCAACCCCAUCCAGCCGUUGAAACUGGGGAUCUAGAGUGUGCGAGAAGUAUGCGGAAUGCGCGGUGUAGCGGUGAAAUGCAUAGAUAUCGCGCAGAACUCCGAUUGCGAAGGCAGCAUGCCGGCUCCACACUGACGCUGAGGCACGAAAGCGUGGGUAUCGAACAGG
This 252-nucleotide ribosomal RNA is filed under the name uncultured Bacteroidales bacterium. RNAcentral's name for it is "partial 16S ribosomal RNA". It matches the Rfam family "Bacterial small subunit ribosomal RNA", at positions 524 to 776 of the family's 1533-position model. Lineage: Bacteria; Pseudomonadati; Bacteroidota; Bacteroidia; Bacteroidales. The record is from RNAcentral.